This is a long non-coding RNA of Papaver somniferum (opium poppy), 938 nucleotides long. RefSeq lists it as uncharacterized. NCBI's taxonomy places the organism in Eukaryota, Viridiplantae, Streptophyta, Magnoliopsida, Ranunculales, Papaveraceae. The transcript has 4 exons. The record is from RefSeq and is a predicted model, not a curated record.
UUCUUCGAUUAUCUUCUUCUUCAUCUCGAUUUCUCUACUUGUCAGAUAUGGAUUGAGAAGGAGAAGACGUUGGCGAUGAUGAAACCAGGUGGUGUUUCUGGCAGCUACACACAAACGGUAAAGAAGAUGAUUCGGGACUCCAAUUUCAGUAUUCUCCGGGGGACGACUGUUCAAUUAGAUGAAGAAAUUGCAGCUCACUUUUAUGCUGAACAUUCUAAACGAAGAUUCUUCAACAACCUUAUCAAAUACAUGACAAGGAUCCUUUUGUUAUUGGAGAGAAAGUCUCAGCCGUUAAUUUGAGUUUGGCGCCAAAGUUUUACCACCUUGAGGUUGCUCUUGAACAUUUUAAGAGCUGGAGUGUUCCAGAGAAUUUGUCUCAUGUCAGAAACUACAUGAAGGGCCUUGUGUCAUCUUUUUGACCCUAUGAAAUUCAGGAGCAAAUAUGACUUUUCCGAGAAGUAUAAGAACCUCAUAUCUCUUACUGAACUUAAGAUAUAUCUCUUUUGUUGCUUGUAUGGGUUCAUUUUUCCAUCUGAUUCUUAUUCCUUCAAAUCUAUCUGAUCUCCUCUUAGUUUAUGUUGGUCGAUAAUGUUCUUGGAUAUGGACUUGUACACAUGGGUAUACAUGUUUUUGGUACAUAUGUACACAUGUUAUUUUCUAUUGUGUGCAUGUUAAUUCAUUUUUUUAGGGACUCGUAAGUUCAAAAUGGUAGAGUGCCCAAGCUUAUCACAAGGUUGCAGGUUGAUGGUUCAAAUUCAUUUGAGUUUCCAUGUUAUGUUUAUUUAAUAUGGAUAGUGUUAUUGGUGCUUAGAUGGACGAUUCAAGCUGUAUGUGGUGUACAAAUUGAUGUACCGUGUCUUGUCUUUGUGUUUUCUGGAUUUUUGUAAAUGUGUAUGUUUGUACACCAAUGUAAACUAAGAUUUUCUGAAAAAUGAGAA